GAUGAAGAACGUAGCGAAAUGCGAUACGUAAUGUGAAUUGCAAAUUCAGUGAAUCAUCGAGUCUUUGAACGCACAUUGCGCCCUCUGGUAUUCCGGAGGGCAUGCCUGUCCGAGCGUCAUUGCUGCCCUCAAGCACGGCUUGUGUGUUGGGCUCCGUCCCCCGAUCCCGGGGGACGGGCCCGAAAGGCAGCGGCGGCACCGCGUCCGGUCCUCGAGCGUAUGGGGCUUUGUCACCCGCUCUGUAGGCCCGGCCGGCGCUUGCCGAUCAACCAAAUUUUUAUCCAGGUUGACCUCGGAUCAGGUAGGGAUACCCGCUGAACUUAAGCAUAUCAAUAAGCGGAGGA
Molecule: unclassified non-coding RNA, 344 nt
Filed under: soil metagenome
Description: partial contains 5.8S ribosomal RNA, internal transcribed spacer 2, and large subunit ribosomal RNA
Rfam family: 5.8S ribosomal RNA (bases 1-119)
Source: RNAcentral